Molecule: ribosomal RNA, 253 nt
Filed under: uncultured bacterium
Lineage: Bacteria
Description: partial 16S ribosomal RNA
Rfam family: Bacterial small subunit ribosomal RNA
Source: RNAcentral
UACAGAGGUCUCGAGCGUUAGGCGGAAUCACUGGGCUUAAAGCGUGUGUAGGUGGAUGCCUAAGUACCUUGUGAAAUCCCCGGGCUUAACCCGGGAACUGCUUGGUAUACUGGGUGUCUUGAGCCAACUAGGGGCGACCGGAACAAACGGUGGAGCGGUGAAAUGCGUAGAUAUCGUUUGGAACGCCAAUGGUGAAAACAGGUCGCUGGGGUUGUGCUGACGCUGAGACACGAAAGCCAGGGGAGCGAACGGG